RNAcentral lists this ribosomal RNA (293 nucleotides) under uncultured bacterium. Its description in RNAcentral is "partial 16S ribosomal RNA". It matches the Rfam family "Bacterial small subunit ribosomal RNA", at positions 775 to 1067 of the family's 1533-position model. The record is from RNAcentral.
GGAUUAGAUACCCUGGUAGUCCACGCCGUAAACGAUGUCUACUAGCCGUUGGGGAACUUGAUUCUUUAGUGGCGCAGCUAACGCACUAAGUAGACCGCCUGGGGAGUACGGCCGCAAGGUUAAAACUCAAAUGAAUUGACGGGGGCCCGCACAAGCGGUGGAGCAUGUGGUUUAAUUCGAAGCAACGCGAAGAACCUUACCUACACUUGACAUCCAGAGAACUUGCUAGAGAUAGCUUGGUGCCUUCGGGAGCUCUGAGACAGGUGCUGCAUGGCUGUCGUCAGCUCGUGCCG